UGUACACGCUGUGACUAGCAUAUCAAUAAGCGGAGGAAAAGAAACUAAUAAGGAUUCCCCUAGUAACGGCGAGUGAAGCGGGAAGAGCUCAAAUUUGAAAUCUUAAAGGGUUUCCCUUUACGAAUUGUAGUUUAAAGAAGUGUUUUCUGUUGAGGUUUUGGUAAAAGUUCUUUGGAAUAGGACAUCAUAGAGGGUGAGAAUCCCGUAUUUGACCUUUACUUUCAACUUUGUGAUAUACUUUCAAAGAGUCGGAUUGUUUGGGAAUGCAGUCCAAAAUGGGUGGUAAAUUUCAUCUAAAGCUAAAUAUUGGCGAGAGACCGAUAGCGAACAAGUACCGUGAGGGAAAGAUGAAAAGAACUUUGAAAAGAGAGUUAAACAGUACGUGAAAUUGUCAAAAGGGAAGCGUUUGACACCAGUGUUGUUUUUCUGAAAAUCAAUUAAAGAACUGUUUAUGCUAAGUUGUUUAGACUUUAUCAGCUAACUGUUUAGUUUUGAGCUUUUCUUUAAUGCACUUUUCAGUUAACAAGUCAACAUCAAUUUCUUUUGCUGUAAAAAAGCUUGAGGAAGGUGGCUUGAGAUUCGUCUUAAGUGUUUAUAGCCUCUUGCCUAUGCAGUCGGAGAGAUUGAGGUCUGCAGCGUAGAUCCUUCGGGGCUAAAUGCAUUUGUGCUAAGUUAUAGCAUUUUAUAGACAACUUGUUGACUAUGAUUUGUCUUGUAGCUUACUCGCUUAUGUUAUUUUACCUACGCUUAGGAUGUUGAAGAUGUAGCACAUCAU
Molecule: ribosomal RNA, 775 nt
Filed under: uncultured Neocallimastigales
Lineage: Eukaryota; Fungi; Neocallimastigomycota; Neocallimastigomycetes; Neocallimastigales
Description: partial large subunit ribosomal RNA
Rfam family: Eukaryotic large subunit ribosomal RNA
Source: RNAcentral